ACGGAAGGCAGCCUUGGUGCAUAUUGGGCAAUGGGCGAAAGCCUGACCCAGCGACGCCGCGUGAGGGAAGAAGGUCUUCGGAUUGUAAACCUCUUUCAGCAGGGAAGAAGAAGAUGACGGUACCUGCAGAAUAAGUCACGGCUAACUACGUGCCAGCAGCCGCGGUAAUACGUAGGUGGCGAGCGUUAUCCGGAAUUACUGGGUGUAAAGGGUGUGUAGGCGGAGAAGCAAGUCAGGUGUGAAAUGUAUGGGCUCAACCCAUAGACUGCACUUGAAACUGUUUCCCUUGAGAGUGGGAGAGGUAACCGGAAUUCCUGGUGUAGUAGUGAAAUGCGUAGAUAUCAGGAGGAACACCGGUGGCGAAGGCGGUUUACUGGACCACAACUGACGCUGAGACACGAAAGCGUGGGGAGCAAACAGGAUUAGAUACCCUGGUA
Molecule: ribosomal RNA, 437 nt
Filed under: uncultured Oscillospiraceae bacterium
Lineage: Bacteria; Bacillati; Bacillota; Clostridia; Eubacteriales; Oscillospiraceae
Description: partial 16S ribosomal RNA
Rfam family: Bacterial small subunit ribosomal RNA
Source: RNAcentral